This 446-nucleotide ribosomal RNA is filed under the name uncultured bacterium. RNAcentral's name for it is "bacterial SSU rRNA". It matches the Rfam family "Bacterial small subunit ribosomal RNA", at positions 330 to 794 of the family's 1533-position model. The record is from RNAcentral.
UCCAGACUCCUACGGGAGGCAGCAGUGGGGAAUAUUGCACAAUGGGGGAAACCCUGAUGCAGCGACGCCGCGUGAGUGAAGAAGUAUUUCGGUAUGUAAAGCUCUCUCAGCAGGGAAGAAAAUGACGGUACCUGACUAAGAAGCCCCGGCUAACUACGUGCCAGCAGCCGCGGUAAUACGUAGGGGGCAAGCGUUAUCCGGAUUUAUUGGGUUUAAAGGGUGCGCAGGCGGCACGGCAAGCCGGCGGUCAAAUCGCGGGGCUCAACCCCGCCCAGCCGUCGGAACUGCCGGGCUAGAGUGGGCGAGAAGUGCGCGGAAUGCGUGGUGUAGCGGUGAAAUGCAUAGAUAUCACGCAGAACCCCGAUUGCGAAGGCAGCAUACCGGUGCACAACUGACGCUCAGGCACGAAAGCGUGGGUAUCGAACAGGAUUAGAUACCCGAGUAUG